UCUCAUUUCUUUUUUAAAAACACACAGUUUGGUUUUAGACAACAGUGGGCAGAAUAGAGACUUCAGGAGAAGUGUACGUGAUGUAAGAGAUUAUUUCAUCCAUCCAUACAAGAAUGCACGCGGUCAGAUAAUACGAAGACCAUUGGGGGAGUUACGGAUCGUUACAAACCCAUUAGCUGAAUCGUCAAGAAGGGAAUCUGAAAAUCGUGGAUCAGUUCAUCACGCUGGAACAGGAGGAGGACGUCACGGGCCCACGAGUGGAUUCUAUCGCUCGGCGCGCGGAAGUUUGCGUGAGGACAUUACAGCGUCUACGAGAGACACAGCGAUCGCAGGACCAUCUUCACAUCCUACACUACAUCAAUCGUGUGUAAAAAAGGAUAGCCUCGCUCUU
This is a long non-coding RNA of Archocentrus centrarchus (flier cichlid), 391 nucleotides long. RefSeq lists it as uncharacterized. The record is from RefSeq and is a predicted model, not a curated record. Lineage: Eukaryota; Metazoa; Chordata; Actinopteri; Cichliformes; Cichlidae. The transcript is spliced from 4 exons.